AUCCACAGAACUUGGCAGAGAUGCCUUGGUGCCUUCGGGAACUGUGAGACAGGUGCUGCAUGGCUGUCGUCAGCUCGUGUUGUGAAAUGUUGGGUUAAGUCCCGCAACGAGCGCAACCCUUAUCCUUUGUUGCCAGCGGUUCGGCCGGGAACUCAAAGGAGACUGCCAGUGAUAAACUGGAGGAAGGUGGGGAUGACGUCAAGUCAUCAUGGCCCUUACGACCAGGGCUACACACGUGCUACAAUGGCAUAUACAAAGAGAAGCGACCUCGCGAGAGCAAGCGGACCUCAUAAAGUAUGUCGUAGUCCGGAUUGGAGUCUGCAACUCGACUCCAUGAAGUCGGAAUCGCUAGUAAUCGUGGAUCAGAAUGCCACGGUGAAUACGUUCCCGGGCCUUGUACACACCGCCCAGUCGACACCAUGGGAGUGGGUUGCAAAAGAAGUA
This 444-nucleotide ribosomal RNA is filed under the name Citrobacter sp. Its description in RNAcentral is "bacterial SSU rRNA". It matches the Rfam family "Bacterial small subunit ribosomal RNA", at positions 986 to 1428 of the family's 1533-position model. Lineage: Bacteria; Pseudomonadati; Pseudomonadota; Gammaproteobacteria; Enterobacterales; Enterobacteriaceae. The record is from RNAcentral.